Molecule: ribosomal RNA, 253 nt
Filed under: uncultured bacterium
Lineage: Bacteria
Description: partial 16S ribosomal RNA
Rfam family: Bacterial small subunit ribosomal RNA
Source: RNAcentral
UACGGAGGGGGCUAGCGUUGUUCGGAAUGACUGGGCGUAAAGCGCGCGUAGGCGGAUCUUUAAGUCAGGGGUGAAAUCCCAAGGCUCAACCUUGGAACUGCCUUUGAUACUGGGGAUCUCGAGUCCGGAAGAGGUGAGUGGAACUGCGAGUGUAGAGGUGAAAUUCGUAGAUAUUCGCAAGAACACCAGUGACGAAGGCGGCUCACUGGUCCGGUACUGACGCUGAGGUGCGAAAGCGUGGGGAGCAAACAGG